GACGAACGCUGGCGGCGUGCUUAACACAUGCAAGUCGAACGGAAAGGCCCUGCUUUUGUGGGGUGCUCGAGUGGCGAACGGGUGAGUAACACGUGAGUAACCUGCCCUUGACUUUGGGAUAACUUCAGGAAACUGGGGCUAAUACCGGAUAGGAGCUCCUGCUGCAUGGUGGGGGUUGGAAAGUUUCGGCGGUUGGGGAUGGACUCGCGGCUUAUCAGCUUGUUGGUGGGGUAGUGGCUUACCAAGGCUUUGACGGGUAGCCGGCCUGAGAGGGUGACCGGCCACAUUGGGACUGAGAUACGGCCCAGACUCCUACAGGAGGCAGCAGUGGGGAGUAUUGCACAAUGGGCGGAAGCCUGAUGCAGCAACGCCGCGUGCGGGAUGACGGCCUUCGGGUUGUAAACCGCUUUCGCCUGUGACGAAGCGUGAGUGACGGUAAUGGGUAAAGAAGCACCGGCUAACUACGUG
RNAcentral lists this ribosomal RNA (468 nucleotides) under uncultured bacterium. Its description in RNAcentral is "partial 16S ribosomal RNA". It matches the Rfam family "Bacterial small subunit ribosomal RNA", at positions 28 to 507 of the family's 1533-position model. The record is from RNAcentral.